This 550-nucleotide ribosomal RNA is filed under the name uncultured bacterium. RNAcentral's name for it is "bacterial SSU rRNA". It matches the Rfam family "Bacterial small subunit ribosomal RNA", at positions 355 to 896 of the family's 1533-position model. The record is from RNAcentral.
UAGGGANUCUUCGGCAAUGGGGGCAACCCUGACCGAGCAACGCCGCGUGAGUGAAGAAGGUUUUCGGAUCGUAAAGCUCUGUUGUAAGAGAAGAACGAGUGUGAGAGUGGAAAGUUCACACUGUGACGGUAACUUACCAGAAAGGGACGGCUAACUACGUGCCAGCAGCCGCGGUAAUACGUAGGUCCCGAGCGUUAUCCGGAUUUAUUGGGCGUAAAGCGAGCGCAGGCGGUUAGAUAAGUCUGAAGUUAAAGGCUGUGACUUAACCAUAGUACGCUUUGGAAACUGUUUAACUUGAGUGCAGAAGGGGAGAGUGGAAUUCCAUGUGUAGCGGUGAAAUGCGUAGAUAUAUGGAGGAACACCGGUGGCGAAAGCGGCUCUCUGGUCUGUAACUGACGCUGAGGCUCGAAAGCGUGGGGAGCAAACAGGAUUAGAUACCCUGGUAGUCCACGCCGUAAACGAUGAGUGCUAGGUGUUGGGUCCUUUCCGGGACUCAGUGCCGCAGCUAACGCAUUAAGCACUCCGCCUGGGGAGUACGACCGCAAGGUUG